AUUGAACGCUGGCGGCAGGCCUAACACAUGCAAGUCGAGCGGAUGAAGGGAGCUUUCUCCUGGAUUCAGCGGCGGACGGGUGAGUAAUGCCUAGGAAUCUGCCUGGUAGUGGGGGAUAACGUCCGGAAACGGGCGCUAAUACCGCCUACGUCCUGAGGCUGCAAGUGGGGGAUCUUCGGACCUCACGUUAUCAGAUGAGCCUAGGUGGGAUUAGCUAGUUGGUGGGGUAAGGGGCUACCAAGGCGACGAUCGGUAACUGGUCUGAGAGGAUGAUCAGUCACACUGGAACUGAGACACGGUCCAGACUCCUACGGGAGGCAGCAGUGGGGAAUAUUGGACAGUGGGCGAAAGCCUGAUCCAGCCAUGCCGCGUGUGUGAAGAAGGUCUUCGGAUUGUAAAGCACUUUAAGUUGGGAGGAAGGGCAGUAAGUUAAUACCUUGCUGUAUUGACGUUACCAACAGAAUAAGCACCGGCUAACUUCGUG
RNAcentral lists this ribosomal RNA (484 nucleotides) under uncultured bacterium. Its description in RNAcentral is "partial 16S ribosomal RNA". It matches the Rfam family "Bacterial small subunit ribosomal RNA", at positions 30 to 507 of the family's 1533-position model. The record is from RNAcentral.